Molecule: ribosomal RNA, 301 nt
Filed under: uncultured bacterium
Lineage: Bacteria
Description: partial 16S ribosomal RNA
Rfam family: Bacterial small subunit ribosomal RNA
Source: RNAcentral
CAGCCGCCGCGGUAAUACGUAGGGUGCAAGCGUUAAUCGGAAUUACUGGGCGUAAAGCGUGCGCAGGCGGUUAUAUAAGACAGAUGUGAAAUCCCCGGGCUCAACCUGGGAACUGCAUUUGUGACUGUAUAGCUAGAGUACGGCAGAGGGGGAUGGAAUUCCGCGUGUAGCAGUGAAAUGCGUAGAUAUGCGGAGGAACACCGAUGGCGAAGGCAAUCCCCUGGGCCUGUACUGACGCUCAUGCACGAAAGCGUGGGGAGCAAACAGGAUUAGAGACCCCUGAGUCCCUGUCUCUUAUACA